AAAUGAAAUCGUCGGGGCGGUGUACACGACGCAUGAAUGAGCCGAUGAGGUGUACGUUUUCGUUUUUUCAUGCGGGUGGGUCGUGGUUGUAUGCGCGCGCGCUCACUAGCAAAGAGCUUCACUUGGCCAAAAACAGCUCUUCUAAAAAUGAGGUUUUGUGAAAUGAAUGGAAGUACGUAGUUUGAGCUAGGUUUGCAAGUUGUAUAAUUUUAGAGGUCAUGCUCUUAGUUAUCUGAAUUGCAUCGAAAUUUUCAAAACAU
Molecule: non-coding RNA, 260 nt
Organism: Caenorhabditis elegans
Lineage: Eukaryota; Metazoa; Nematoda; Chromadorea; Rhabditida; Rhabditidae
Source: Ensembl